GAUGAACGCUGGCGGCGUGCCUAAUACAUGCAAGUCGAGCGAACGGACGAGAAGCUUGCUUCUCUGAUGUUAGCGGCGGACGGGUGAGUAACACGUGGAUAACCUACCUAUAAGACUGGGAUAACUUCGGGAAACCGGAGCUAAUACCGGAUAAUAUUUUGAACCGCAUGGUUCAAAAGUGAAAGACGGUCUUGCUGUCACUUAUAGAUGGAUCCGCGCUUCAUUAGCUAGUUGGUAAGGUAACGGCUUACCAAGGCAACGAUGCAUAGCCGACCUGAGAGGGUGAUCGGCCACACUGGAACUGAGACACGGUCCAGACUCCUACGGGAGGCAGCAGUAGGGAAUCUUCCGCAAUGGGCGAAAGCCUGACGGAGCAACGCCGCGUGAGUGAUGAAGGUCUUCGGAUCGUAAAACUCUGUUAUUAGGGAAGAACAUAUGUGUAAGUAACUGUGCACAUCUUGACGGUACCUAAUCAGAAAGCCACGGCUAACUACGUGCCAGCAGCCGCGGUAAUACGUAGGUGGCAAGCGUUAUCCGGAAUUAUUGGGCGUAAAGCGCGCGUAGGCGGUUUUUUAAGUCUGAUGUGAAAGCCCACGGCUCAACCGUGGAGGGUCAUUGGAAACUGGAAAACUUGAGUGCAGAAGAGGAAAGUGGAAUUCCAUGUGUAGCGGUGAAAUGCGCAGAGAUAUGGAGGAACACCAGUGGCGAAGGCGACUUUCUGGUCUGUAACUGACGCUGAUGUGCGAAAGCGUGGGGAUCAAACAGGAUUAGAUACCCUGGUAGUCCACGCCGUAAACGAUGAGUGCUAAGUGUUAGGGGGUUUCCGCCCCUUAGUGCUGCAGCUAACGCAUUAAGCACUCCGCCUGGGGAGUACGACCGCAAGGUUGAAACUCAAAGGAAUUGACGGGGACCCGCACAAGCGGUGGAGCAUGUGGUUUAAUUCGAAGCAACGCGAAGAACCUUACCAAAUCUUGACAUCCUUUGACAACUCUAGAGAUAGAGCCUUCCCCUUCGGGGGACAAAGUGACAGGUGGUGCAUGGUUGUCGUCAGCUCGUGUCGUGAGAUGUUGGGUUAAGUCCCGCAACGAGCGCAACCCUUAAGCUUAGUUGCCAUCAUUAAGUUGGGCACUCUAAGUUGACUGCCGGUGACAAACCGGAGGAAGGUGGGGAUGACGUCAAAUCAUCAUGCCCCUUAUGAUUUGGGCUACACACGUGCUACAAUGGACAAUACAAAGGGCAGCGAAACCGCGAGGUCAAGCAAAUCCCAUAAAGUUGUUCUCAGUUCGGAUUGUAGUCUGCAACUCGACUACAUGAAGCUGGAAUCGCUAGUAAUCGUAGAUCAGCAUGCUACGGUGAAUACGUUCCCGGGUCU
RNAcentral lists this ribosomal RNA (1372 nucleotides) under uncultured bacterium. RNAcentral describes it as "bacterial SSU rRNA". It matches the Rfam family "Bacterial small subunit ribosomal RNA", at positions 28 to 1381 of the family's 1533-position model. The record is from RNAcentral.